Molecule: microRNA precursor, 116 nt
Filed under: Retroperitoneal fibromatosis-associated herpesvirus
Lineage: Duplodnaviria; Heunggongvirae; Peploviricota; Herviviricetes; Herpesvirales; Orthoherpesviridae
Description: miRc-RF06
Source: RNAcentral
UAGAAAUUUUAGUUUGUAUUUUAAUUAGAUAUAUACUAAUUAGGUAUCUAGCUAGUAUAUCCUACCUAGAUACCUAAUUUACAUAUUCAGGCUGGUUGUUCUAGCUGAUUUUUCUA